GUGGCGGAGCAGGGGCCCCGGCGAGUGGGGAGCUGGAGGCACAGCGCAUCCCGGCGUCGCACGGGGACUACGAGCUGGCGGCGCACCUGUCACCCACCAGCGCAGACCCCGAGGUCGUGACGACGAGGGGAGAAUCAGAAUGAGGAGGAUGCCGCUGCGGCAGCGAAGGUAGCCAGCAGCCUGAUGAAGCAUCUACGGCCCAGCUUCUCCGGCGCGCCAUCCGGAGAUGGGACGGGCGGAUCGAGGCGGAGGACGAUGGAGAGGUGGUCGGAGGCAGCGAGCUCCAAGGUAGGCGGGGUGAUGCGGUUCCAGAUGGACGACGGCUUCAUGGGCGGCUGGGCCGAAUCAGCUGCCGUGGCCCAAGCGGCGGACGAACGGGCGCUCCUCUCGUCGUCCUCCUCCCGACGGCAGGCCAAGCAGGCGGUAGGAGCUUCUCCGUUCUGCUUGGCGACCUCAGGGUCCCGCUCUUCGGGGCGCUGCUCCAGCAGAGCAACAUCACGCGCCUCGAAUGGCAAGGGCGGCCGCCGUGGUUUGAGGACGUGCUGCGGGCGCCGACGGCUACCACGCCCCGGCGGUGGUGGACGCGCGGCGACACUCUCUGGGCGUGCUCUUGCUGGAGCUCCUCAACGGCAAGUCCCCGACGCACGCAUCGCUGCAGGAUGGCGACGGCGGCACGCUGGACCUGCCGCGGUUGGUGCAGUCAGUGGUGCGCGAGGAGUGGACGGCCGAGGUGAUUGGCGUGGAGCUGGUGCGGCUAGGCGCCGCGCCGAGGAGAAGAUGGACUCGCUACUGCAGGCAUCAACGAAGCUACAACAUAGCACGCCGCUGGCCUCCAGCAACCGGCGCUCCGCACACAUCCUUGCCUCCCACGGCCAGAUGCUCGGACGGCCCCCCAUCACAUAGAUACACAAACACAACAGCAAGCUUCAGUUAUCUGAAUUUUCGGUUCAGUGUCCACAACAACGAGCUUCAGUUAUCUGAAUUUUUAGUGCAGUGUCGUGAUUUGGAUGGACGCCCGAACACAACAGCGAGGCCAGCUUCAGUUCUCUGAAUCUUCAGUGUGCUGUCAUGAUUUGGAUGGAAUUGGAGACCGUGUCCUUCUCCAACAUAAGUCAAUUUCCAAUGUAAUCGAGUUCGAGUCUCUGUUCUUCUCCAACGCAAAAGCAUGUAGUACCCGACCCGGAUUGGACUUGGCUGUCAUAAGGAGGGAUCCUCGACCAGAACGUCCAUCAGGCUGCGUCCCUCGACCAGAAUCUCCAUCAAAUCCCAUCACAUUGCAACUCUCAGAGGAGCAUCCAAUGUCGCUGGCGGAGGAAAAUCAUCCGUCCAGCCGUACUAUGCCGAGUUCGCCGGCGGAAGAAGAACACCCGUCGAGCCCUCCAUCGCCUGAGGUGGCUACACCAGAGUGAUGGGAGGUAGAUUGAGCUGAUAAAUUUCUGCACCCACCUUGAGGUCCAUAACGUUCUCCUAAUUAUAUGCAGCCCAAUUCGUAUAGAUGUAUUUGUUUGAGGGAGAGGACUAUCUGUGAUCAGAAGCAACAGUAUGUGAUCAUCAUGAGUGCGAGAGAUGGCAAGAGUAUGUGAUAUGUAUUUCUGUGUACACUACUAAUAUGUAUUGACUGUUCAUGUUGGUACAGUAGGUUCAUGAUUGCUUAUGGAAACAAUAAAAUUACUUGAGGAGGAUUUUAUGAGUAUGUACUUUGAGACUUGAGAGGCUGUUAUUGACAUGGAUUCUCCGUCUACUAGAGAGGCUGGUGUCAAAUCAAUAUCGGAACAAGGGCAAUAGAAGUGGAAUGAGGAGAAGGUUGUUAGCUCGUCGUGUGGUCGAUUUGGUUUCUGGAAAUUCUUUCGCAUACUAUGUUUGAGCGCUUUUGUUCUUGAGUUCUUCUGGUGGAGGGAAUCAGAAGUGAUUCUUCUGCAAUGUGAGGAGAUCUCCAAAUCAAGCCAGCCUCCAAGAGAAGAGAACAAGUAGUACAUCUCUACCCAGACGAGCUGAAUCUGAACGACUCAGAUUGUCAUGUUACCGUGUACCAGUCCGGCAGAUGUGCAAGUGCAACUACAUUGGUUGAGUGUAAGGAAGACUGAUUCAUCUGCGCGAAGCCAGUAUGACAAGGCUAAGUCUGCACAAGGUGGUGCCCGUUGUAAUGGCCAUGGCUGACUCGCCAGACGCCGCCGGAGGGAGCCCAAUAUACCCUAGCUCGAUGGGCUCGCCAGCCGCCUAGGUAAUAGGGAAAACAUGUGUCGCAUCGGCACAUUUGAUACAGAGCAGCAACUACCUGGUUAUUGAGGGCGUGCACCGGAUGUGCAUAGCAGCACCAGUGCCGACCAAUUCGGCGGCGAACGCCAUGUGGAGGUGCACGGGAUGACGGCGACGCUGGCGGAGCUGAUGUGGAGGUAUGCGUGUGUGAUGACCUGUUGUUCCUGGCUUCCGACGGUCCAUGGUGGGGGAGGACCAAGUGGUGGCCUUCUUUGGUGACUUCAUGGGCGUGUCAGCCCUCAUCUCCACUUUGUCAUCGACGACAUCUACGGCCAUGACCCUCCGCCAUCCACUUACUUGGCACCUCGAGUGGGAGGGGCUGCCGUUCCAGUUCAGCAGGGGCUGCACCUUCUACCGCAGUGAUCCCAACCCGCAUGGGCAGCAGCAGAUUCAGAUUGUGUUUGGAGAUGGUGGCCCAUGACGAGGAUUUCAGGGGAGAUCAUACUAUGACUAUAACAAGAGGCCGAGAUUUGACUUGCAUUGUAUGCGUAAAGCAGGUUCAAGAGCUCCAAGCCAACAAUCGCCAGAGCUUUGAAAAAGAUGUAAGACUUCUACUUUCUACCUUCUGUCACAAAAUUUGUUGUAGCCUGUGUUGAAAAUAUGCCCUAGAGGCAAUAAUAAAAUGGUUAUUAGUAUGUUUCUUUGUUCA
Molecule: long non-coding RNA, 2905 nt
Organism: Triticum dicoccoides
Lineage: Eukaryota; Viridiplantae; Streptophyta; Magnoliopsida; Poales; Poaceae
Exons: 8
Source: RefSeq, a predicted model, not a curated record